This 278-nucleotide ribosomal RNA is filed under the name uncultured eukaryote. RNAcentral's name for it is "partial 18S ribosomal RNA". It matches the Rfam family "Eukaryotic small subunit ribosomal RNA", at positions 21 to 298 of the family's 1831-position model. The record is from RNAcentral.
UAGUCAUAUGCUUGUCUCAAAGAUUAAGCCAUGCAUGUCUAAGUAUAAAAGUAUUCUAUACUUGAAACUGCGAAUAGCUCAUUAAAUCAGUUAUAGUUUAUUUGAUGGUGCCUUACUACAUGGAUACCCGUAGUAAUUCUAGAGCUAAUACAUGCCAAAAAAACCCGACCUUCCGGAAGGGUUGUAUUUAUUAGAUAAAAAACCAAUCCUCGCAAGAGGACUCGUGUUGAUUCAUAAUAACUGUUCGAAUCGCAUGCCGCAAGGCGGCGAUAGAUCAU